GGGCAAUAAAAGGCUGGGAAAGUAAGUGUUACUACAAAGAAACAGCUGGAGGUUAAUUGGCAGCAGGUCAGUUACAUGACUGGGUUUAAAAAGAGUAUCUUAGACAGGCGGAGUCUUUCAGAAGUAAAGAUGGACAGAGGUUCACUAAUCUGUGAAAAACUACGUGUACAAUUUGUGGAACAUUUUCAGAAUAAUGUUCCUCAACGUAAAACUGCAAUGACGUUGAAUAUCCCAUCAUCUACAGGACAUAAUAUCAUCAAAAGAUUCUGAGAAUCGGGAGAAAUCUCUGUGCACAAGAGACGAGGGUGAAAAUGAAUGCCCGUGAUCUUCGGAUCCUCAGGCGGCACUGCAUUAAAGACAGGCCUGAUUCUGUAAUGGAAAUCACUGCAUGGGCUCAGAAACUCCUCCAGAACUCAGAACGUGCCAUCCACAAAUACUGGAUAAAGCUUUAUCAUGCAAAGAAGAAGCCAUAUGUGAACAUGAUCCAGAAACUCCACCGUCUUCUCUGUUCUUCCAUGUUUCUAUGUUCUAUUGUGAAUAUGUUCUAUAUGUUUCUAUGUUCUAAUGUUCUCCUCUGGUCUUCCAGGUUUUCUCAUUUCCUCCCACUUCCCAAAGAAAACAUGCCAAAGAAAGAGGGAGCUCUUAGGCAAUGGCUGCAGCUGCUGGAGAGGAGAUACGUCGAACAAAUCCACAUCAGACCAUGUUAGUCGGCAUUUGCCCAAACACCUCGAUGAUAUGAAUUACUCCACUUCCUUGUGCUGCGGUUAGUUAGGAGAAGACAAACUUAAGGCUCUCAAACAUAAGUUCAUCACAUCUCAUGACUUGCUUAAGCUCAUGAAAGACAAUUUGUGUCACAGUUUGUUCAGUGUUGUAUAUGAAAUUUGUGACUUCCUCUUCCUAAACUUCAGCUAUAGGUCCAAAAGCCUGAACUAAUUUUCUUUCAUGUCUGUCAUUGCAUCAUACAGGUGUUGUAAUGGUGUUCCAGCAUGUCAGUGGUUUAUCUGUAAUGUAAUAUAGACAUAGACAUAGUUAUAGAUUAUUGUAUAACGUGAGUUUGAC
Molecule: long non-coding RNA, 1059 nt
Organism: Ictalurus punctatus (channel catfish)
Lineage: Eukaryota; Metazoa; Chordata; Actinopteri; Siluriformes; Ictaluridae
Source: Ensembl